GACAACUUCUAGAUACAUUUAUUGAAGGGCUUAUUCCAAAGAUCCGGUGUGAAGUUAAGGCUCAUCAACCCCGCACUAUGAUAGCUGCGAUCUCAUUUGCACAUCUACAUGAGAAAAAAAUUAGCAAGGAAAUAUCAGCAAGGGGUUUGUACUAUGAUGAAAAAUAGAGUAUGGAGCACCGAUAUAAAUAAGGGCAACUUCUAAUGAUUGAACCAAUUGGAGAGGAGCCGAAAGCUAAGAAUGUAGACUCCGAUCAUGAAGGUAUAAAUUCUAAUGAAGAUGUUGAACCUACCAUACAUACAAUGCAUACAUUAGCCGACUACUCUAACUCGCAAAAUAUGGAAGUUGGCGGAACUCUAGAGCAUCAACCUAUUAUAGUUUUGAUUGAUACUGGUAGCACUAACAAUUUUAUGGACAGUGAGACUGUUGACCGAUUGGCCCACCACAUUGAAGACUAUGACAGAUUCGAAGUAAAGAUCGUUGAUGGACGGAUUUUCCCUUGUGAUAGCAAAGGUUUAAAGAUAAAAUUGAUUAUACAGG
RNAcentral lists this long non-coding RNA (540 nucleotides) under Musa acuminata (dwarf banana). RNAcentral describes it as "long non-coding RNA (MACU_LNC010773)". The record is from RNAcentral. Lineage: Eukaryota; Viridiplantae; Streptophyta; Magnoliopsida; Zingiberales; Musaceae.